UGCCAUGUCUUUGGGGGUUUUGAAAAGGUUCAUUUUGAUUGCCCACAAAGACUGGAUCAGCAUUUUGUCAUAUCAGGUCUAGACAGUGGCCUGGAGAGAACCUCACCUGUGUGUGUGUGUGUGUGUGUGUGUGUUCACCUGCUCCGGGUUGCCUUCCAUAUCCCAACCACAGGCAUGAUGAGGCUUCACAAUUAACUCAGGGGAUUAACGCAGAAGAAAACAUUUCUGUUGGUUAAGGACUUGUUCUCUGCUUGAUUUAUUUGGAUAUUUAUGCACUAAAGUGCAUAUUCUGGAGUGGGAGAUAUUGUGGGCAAGCGAUUUUCAUUAUGCUCACCACAAAGUUUGGAACCUCAAUGAAAACUGUUUUAAAUCAAUGUUAUUUAUGCUCUUCAACAUCCUAUUCUGCAUACGUUUUAAAUCCUCACCACAUCAAAGCAUUUACUCUUACCAUUAGAUAGUGUAUAUUUAUUAACAAUAAUGAAUCAUUAAUCCUUAAAUUGUUUCAGUGUGGCACAACAGUACACUCAUUCUUUUAUCUGUGGCCUACCAAAUAGGUUUCAAGAGAAAUGAGGAAGACCUUUUUUGAUUGGUUGACUAGAGACAGACUGAUCCUUUAUAUACAUAAUCUAGAGUUUUCUCUGCGACAAUCCUGUCACUGACACGUUUUUGUUCGGCUCGGAAUAUACUUUUGCUCACCCUGAUGAAGGCUUUCAUUGGAAUGAUGAGUCUCAUAUGUUUGAGUCUCUCUGCUCCACUUGAUCUAAGAGCUCCAGGCGGAGUGGAACAGAUCCAGGCUCAACCUAUGACAUUUCCUGGACAACCUUUGGCGCAACAAUCUCGAAGAAAUAUCACCUCCCACACAUACACCUACCCAAUCUUUCCGAGACUGGAUAAUUUCUACUAUACGUAUCCAUCUGGCUCAAUGACCCCGGUCUUCAACCUCUACCGGUUCUUCUCACCACAGGUCUACUUACCACUAGGCUACACACCACCCAUUUACACCCAGUACCCGUCUCUGAACAGAGACAUGACCCCUUACACUGUUUAUCUGAGACAGGGAAUGUGAUCAGUUUGUCGUUUUGUAGUAGUACUAUGAGAGAUCACAUUUUUUAUUAUUUUUAUUAUUUGUGUCGUUAGCUGUUUGCAAGAUUAGGUUAAAUGAUGAUAUUGCAAGGGACAUGCAUUUUGUUUUUGGUGUAAAUUGUUUACUUAAUCAAACAUUAAAGAAACUUCUUGAAAACAUUUGACAAAAAAAUAGGUUAUUUUCUAAUUGCUAGAUAAUUAUUCACUGUGGUCACCUCAAAGCAGUGAGUAUACUGUGUUGUGUAUUUUGAGUAACGCAAACUUGAGUACUUGAGUGACACAAACAAUCUCAAGCUGGGUGGCAGUAGGAAGUUAGGGAAGUUGGGGGAGUAAUGUGGCAUUUUUACUAAACAUUGGUAAACAUGUAUCUGUAUCCGUAAUGUCAUGCUUCAGAAAGAUUUAUUAUCAAAGGGAGAAGAUAAUAAAUUAUCAUUUUACCUUCAGAUUAAAUCAGCUGAGUCACUAAAUCGGAUUAAAUUCCUGAUUCUUCACACUCUAAAAGAUGGACACCAAGUUGUGAUUUGGGGACCUCUCUCAAAAAAAAGCACUUGCACUUUGGAUUGCUGGAAUACAUCACUCCUAAGACUCAAGACUGGUUGAUGUCUUAAAAGCUUCUACUUGGCUUCUCCACUUUACUCAGUGAGCAAGAUAGAAGCAGAAAGAUCUUUUCAGGUAUACAGAAUAGAUGUUUAUCCAAACAUGCUCAGAACCAACAGCCUGAGUGUUCAGACUCCAUGACCCUCUCCACCACCACCCUCUCAAAUUUCAGAUUAGCCAAUCAGAAAACAGUCUGAAACACAUACAUAGACCACAUAAUGUUGAUAUUUGAACCAAACCCUGAUCUCCAGCCUCAAUGCCAAGCAAAAAAUACAUGUAGCAUGUCAAAACAUGUGGUCUCCGACCGACUGGGCUUGUGUUAGAGAGAUUGUUCUGACCACCAUCCUAAAUAUACCAGGCCUGCAGCUGUGCUGACAGCACUGAGGAAGGCUAAGUGAGGUUCUAACCAGCGGCACCCGGAAUGACUCGCCCUCGAGGAACAGGACAGCUGAGGACAGAGAAAGUCUAUACUGAGGCACUCAAACAAGUUAGUCCUUCUCCAGAGGUCUGGUGUAAUUAAUACAUUGAUUGAGCCGCAGAAAUACAGUGUAACUGUUUUAUUAUUCAGCUGCUGUGACCAC
Alosa sapidissima (American shad) is the source of this 2261-nucleotide long non-coding RNA. RefSeq lists it as uncharacterized. The transcript is spliced from 4 exons. The record is from RefSeq and is a predicted model, not a curated record. Lineage: Eukaryota; Metazoa; Chordata; Actinopteri; Clupeiformes; Clupeidae.